UUAAAUAAAAGAGAAAUAAAAAAAUGGAAUUGGGAUUUAGGGUUACAUGAAUGGCGCUUGGACUUCUUCUCUCAAAUGUGCUUGCGACGGCGACGGAUUUUCUCCGAUCGCUCUCUCUUCGUUCGUCUCUCUUUCGAUCUCAACUAGAUGUAAUCGCGAGCAGAUAGCCAAUUUGUGCGAUGGAGAUGAUGAUGAACGUUGUUGUUGUAAGCGCAGAUUCGCGGAUGAGUAUUAUGAAGAUUGUUGAAUCAUGUUUGCAAUGAGAACGAAGAUGCGACGAAGAUAUGCGAUAAAGACCGAUACUGGUGAUUGACGCAACAUUGAAGUGUUGAUGAUGAUAUGGAUGCGUUUGAAGGAGUUAUGAUGAUGAUGAAGAUGUUACAGAUCGAAUCAGAGAGAAAAAAUAUGAAGGUUCUUCUGUUAUGAGGUUAGUCCCAAUCGAUUUUCUUUUUCUGUUAUCUGGUUUUCUCUUCUCCUUUUUUUCUGUUGGUGAUUGAAGAUAAUUGGAGAAGAUUGAAGAAUGUGAUUGGAGAAGAUUGAGAGAGGUUCAGAGAUGAAGAUAGAGUGGUGAGAAGAAUGGAGGUUCUGAAAGAAUGAAGAUGAAAGUGAAUUGUGGAGAGGGAGUUGCAGAAGUGGUGAAGGUUGAGUGAAGGUGAUGAUGAUGUGGCUUGUGAUGGAUGGUGAAUGGUGGAUGAGGGAAGAGGUGGAAGAGUGAAGAGAUGAAGAUGAUGAUGAAUAAAAGUGAAAAAUGGCGGAGGACCUGAAGAAUGAAUCGAGUGCAGAGUUAUAUAGGAGCUGUUAACUGAAUGGUUCAGAGCUGAUUGUAAAGUGAACUUGUAUUGAUUGUUUGGAUGUAGGCUGUUAGUGACUUGAAGGUGGAGGAAACUUUGAAGACCAAAAGGAAAAGGAAGGAUGAAUUUGAUGUAGAAAAAGAUGGUCCUUUAUGGAAUUUGUUUGGAUUAAAGAUAUUUGUAAUUUAGGAUGGAAUUGUAACUUGAUUGUAAAUAAAGUGUACCCUUUUUUUUGUGUAAUAUGAUGUAAUGGUAAUGAUUGAGGUUGUAUAUGACAUGAGAUUUUUUUGUAAUGGAUAUGUAUAAUGGAUUGGACAUGUUGAAAUGAA
Molecule: long non-coding RNA, 1120 nt
Organism: Vicia villosa (hairy vetch)
Lineage: Eukaryota; Viridiplantae; Streptophyta; Magnoliopsida; Fabales; Fabaceae
Exons: 2
Source: RefSeq, a predicted model, not a curated record